Molecule: ribosomal RNA, 405 nt
Filed under: uncultured bacterium
Lineage: Bacteria
Description: partial 16S ribosomal RNA
Rfam family: Bacterial small subunit ribosomal RNA
Source: RNAcentral
GACGAACGCUGGCGGCGUGCUUAACACAUGCAAGUCGAGCGGAGCGGCGAACGGGUGAGUAACGCGUGAGUAACUGCCCCCCUCUCUGGGAUAACAGUUGGAAACGGCUGCUAAUAUCGGAUAGUGGGGGAUGACUCGCGUCCUCUCAGCUUGUUGGUGGGGUAGUGGCCUACCAAGGCGACGACUGGUAGCCGGCCUGAGAGGGGGACAGGCCGCAUUGGGCUGGGAUACGGCCUAAGCAACUACGGGAGGCAGAAGUGGGGAAUAUUGCACAAGGGGGGAAACUCUAAUGCAGCAACGCCGCGUGGGGGAUGACGGCCUUCGGGUUGUAAACCGCUUUCAGCCAUGACGCGGUAGUGGCAGAAGAAGCACCGGCUAACUACGUGCGAGCAGCCGCGGUAAUUC